AUUUAUUUUGCAGGUUUUUCAGUUGUGCAGUAUAAUAUGUAGCUAUACUAGCAGCACUGUUUCAAUCUUUGACAAAAUAACAUUCAGAACUUUUUACCAGUUUACAUUCAGUGAAUUCCCAGAAUGAUAAUAAUCCUCCUCCUGGAACUGGAUGGUGUCAUGCCAGUGUGAAGGCAGGCUUGGUAUGAUGGACCCAAGAGCGGGACUCACAGAGGCACAGGUGAACUCAAAACCCUCGGCUUUAUUCUGGGAUUGCAGACUGAACAACGAACUAGUGAUGUGUCCUGUGUGUCGAAGCUUUAAAGCCUGUGUUGGGUAAUCUCGGGGGCGUUUUUGUGAAGCGCGUAUCGACGCUUGCUUUCAUUACGUAUGCAGUGACAUUCGAGGCCUCGCGGGCAGUCCGUACCACGUGACUGAUUCAGGAACUGGUUUGCCGGUUUGCGUCAGAUUCCAAAUAAAAUGGGCAGCAAAACACAGCUGAUUCCCAUUACAUUGUGUUGUGGAAUUGGAUUACGUACGUGCUACAUAGUUACUUGAGCAUUUCCUCUCUCGAUGGAACCAGCAAGGAAAAGAAAAUUUUCCCCGGUCUGGCAACAUUUCGAUCUCAUCUCUCCUAAUAAGGUGAAGUGUUUGCUGUGCUCCAAAGAACUUGGAUACAGCAACAACACCUCAUCUAUGCUGAGGCAUUGCAGAGCCCUGCAUGAGAACAAGGAGACUAACCAAGGUGGACCAAGCUCAGGGAGAGGAAUGAUGUGGAUGAGGCCUUGCU
This is a long non-coding RNA of Haplochromis burtoni (Burton's mouthbrooder), 769 nucleotides long. RefSeq lists it as uncharacterized. The transcript has 3 exons. The record is from RefSeq and is a predicted model, not a curated record. NCBI's taxonomy places the organism in Eukaryota, Metazoa, Chordata, Actinopteri, Cichliformes, Cichlidae.